UAGGGAAUCUUCCGCAAUGGGCGAAAGCCUGACGGAGCAACGCCGCGUGAGUGAUGAAGGUCUUCGGAUCGUAAAACUCUGUUAUUAGGGAAGAACAAAUGUGUAAGUAACUAUGCACGUCUUGACGGUACCUAAUCAGAAAGCCACGGCUAACUACGUGCCAGCAGCCGCGGUAAUACGUAGGUGGCAAGCGUUAUCCGGAAUUAUUGGGCGUAAAGCGGGCGUAGGCGGUUUUUUAAGUCUGAUGUGAAAGCCCACGGCUCAACCGUGGAGGGUCAGUGGAAACUGGAAAGCUUGAGUGCAGAAGAGGAAAGUGGAAUUCCAUGUGUAGCGGUGAAAUGCGCAGGGAUAUGGAGGAAAACCAGUGGCGAAGGCGACUUUCUGGUCUGUAACUGACGCUGAUGUGCGAAAGCGGGGGGAUCAAACAGG
RNAcentral lists this ribosomal RNA (429 nucleotides) under Actinomycetes bacterium. RNAcentral describes it as "Actinobacteria bacterium partial 16S ribosomal RNA". It matches the Rfam family "Bacterial small subunit ribosomal RNA", at positions 355 to 776 of the family's 1533-position model. The record is from RNAcentral. Lineage: Bacteria; Bacillati; Actinomycetota; Actinomycetes.